ACAUCAUUGAAAAGAGCAGUUGUGCUGAGCCAUUAGCAAGAAACAUUUGUAAAGCAGUGGUCCAGAACAGCACUGGUGCUUCAAGCUGCUCCUGUUGUUUCUCUGCAAGUGUUUA
This 115-nucleotide long non-coding RNA is filed under the name Cyanistes caeruleus (blue tit). RNAcentral describes it as "lncRNA (ENSCCEG00000000873.1)". Lineage: Eukaryota; Metazoa; Chordata; Aves; Passeriformes; Paridae. The record is from RNAcentral.